Columba livia (rock pigeon) is the source of this 19696-nucleotide long non-coding RNA. RefSeq lists it as uncharacterized. The transcript has 4 exons. Lineage: Eukaryota; Metazoa; Chordata; Aves; Columbiformes; Columbidae. The record is from RefSeq and is a predicted model, not a curated record.
UGUCCUCGGGCGGGAGGAGCCGUGAAGGCGGCUCGUUACCUGCGGCGGCGCGGCGAUCUUUCCCUUUCACCGUGACCGGCAAAGUGUUUGCCUGAGAGCUGCUGGGAGCACCGGCCCCGGCCCUGUGAGGCGGUUCCCUCGGGCUCACCGAGGCCGCGCUCCCGAGCAUGGAGCCGCUGCUCUCGCGCCUUCCCGCCCACCUCAGGAGGGCCUUGGUGGCUGGUGAGGGACGGACACACCAGCUCCCGUUCGUCGCUCCUUUCUUGUAAACAUCUGUCUUACCAUUUCGGUUUACUGUGCUAGGACCAUCUGCAGCAAGUUAUAUUCCAGUUCAGGCCCUUCCAGCGGUUGCUCCAGCCCUGUCAGCUGUCCGUGACCAGCCCACAUGCCAGUCCUGUGUGCACACUGGCUCAUCAGCUGUCUAAGCCAACACCUUGUGCCUCCAAGCACCUUCACUUUUCCUCAGGCCAGGAGGAGCCCAGCGUCUGCUGGAGUUGCUGAGAUUCCCUAGAUGCGGAAUGGGGUCAGGUAUUGCCUGUAAUAAUCUGAAGAGCUUUAUGCAGUAAGAGUUUCUGGUCGGGGUGCACAUGUACUGCCACAAAGAGGAGGGGAAGAAGGACGGCAGCUGCCUUUGAGAGCAGGAAGAAAAAGUCACAGAGUCUGCAACCACCUUCCUCCCAAACCAACAGGUUUUGCAAGAGGGCUGAACCUUAACUGAAAACCGCUUUGCAAAAUAAAACUGAAAAUUCUUGUGGAGGAAAGCAACAAAGCUGACAGCAAAAACGCCAAGAAAGUCCGUUUUAACUGCAUCAGCUUCUCACCUUCUGAAUUCUCUGGAGGGACAGAGCAGUUCGAAAUGUCUGAUACUCCAUGAACACGACACCUGUUGACUCUCGGGGUAACCACAGUGUGAAGAUGACGGUUUGGGCAAAAUCAAAGGUGACUGGGUUUAGGACUGGGGUGGGUUAUGUGUAUUUACACCAGGAGGUGCCACUGCAAGUUGGAAUUUCCCCCCUUUCUGAUAAAAGAGGAAAAUAGAUAUUUUUCUUUCCCCCUGUGGUUUACUCAUCUAAAUUCAUUUGAUCUUGCUCUGCAGAGUAGCUGAUAAAGGAAUCUGGAAAAACAAAAAUGGUGUUUAAAACCAACGUGCUUUUACUUAACAGCCUGACUUUAAAGUGUUUCAGCUCUUGUUUCCCAGUGUCUGCCCGGCUCCUGCUCGCCCUGGGAUGGGUUUGGAGUUUCGGGGCGCUCCGGAGGCGGGUGUGAAGGGAACUGAAUGGUGUGAACCAGUAGAGAACCCUUGGGACUCAUUUCUUCAGCUGUGAUGGCAGGAGCUCUUGUGGGUCCCCAGGGCACCCCAUGGAUUGUGGCACCUGCAGUUACUGCUCUGCAGCCCCAAACGCAUCCUUCAGCUCCUCUUGGGGCAGGCUGUUUCCAAAGAAAACAGGAUCCAGUUUGUUAACUACCAAUCAUGUACCAGUUGAGCUACGGCUGUUAAAAACUAUCUGCUUUACUAUUUAUUUUCUGCUACUCUCAUUAUUUUUACCAAGGUUUCUCUUUCCUCUGUGAUUACAAACAUUUUAUAAUGUAGGAAAAAAUGUUUGCUUUAGUAGAAGUUUUAGUUUCUUUUCCAAUUGUAUUUUAGAACGAUAUUUUAGUAGGCAUGCCAUGUGAGCACCAUUUCUAUCAAACUCCUUUCUUGUCCCUGCUUAAGGUAGAGAAGACACACGAGAACCUUUUUUCCAGAGGCUGCAGACUCUGCUGGAUUUCGGUAUCUUCCUCUCCUCAUCUACAUACUUACCCUUAUUUUAUAGAAAUUGAAAAAUUGCCACAAUGACAAUUUUGUAAAGCCCGUGUCGGAGGCUGUAAAGGAAACCAGAACCUGUUUGCCUGGAUUUUCAUUCCCAGGGUGUGUAAGGGAGAAGUGGUGACUGGGGUUUUCAUUCAUUUGCAGCCACACGGUUCAGACCGCGAUCAGCAGCCUCCAGGUUUACUAGAAACUGGAAGCGCUGAGGGAGUGAGAGCGGAGCAGCUGUGAGAAACAGCGAUAUAAAACUGCUAUCCUGCUAUUUGAAGUAUGAAUGUGCAGUUACAUUUUAAAUCACAAGCAAUUGCAAAACCAAACACCAGUGCUAGUGUCCAGCAGAACGACAGCGCUCCUGAAGUCAGCUGUAGUUUGUAUUUAAAGGAUUGUUUCCUUUCAGUAGGAUUUACAGCUUGUAGACAGUUCUGUGUUUGUACAGCAAGAGGCGGUACAGCAGUUUGGAGGACUUCUAAACCCGUGAACUAGUCCCGCUCGCUAUGGGUGCGCUCACCGCGCCACGACCCGCUGCACACCUGCACAAAAACUGCAGCACCAGAAAGGCAGUUGGAAGUGAUUGCAGUGUGUAACUGCUGAGGGGGCGAUGGACGGAGGAGCCGCUGCAUUGCUGCUUAAACCAGCGCUCGGUCAGUGUGUCCAAUUGCCACUGAUGGUGGCUGCUGUUUAAUUGCAGCUCUCUGGCUGGAGUUGGAGCGGUGCUGCAGGCCCCAGACAACCUUGUAGCGCUAAAUGUACCCACACAUUACAGAUACGGACCCAACAGUAACGAGCGGGUGUUUUCUCUGGAUUUUCUUCCCCAUUCUCCCCCCAUUUCUCCACUAUUCUUUGAAAGUUGAUGUAUUACAGCAAGGAGGAGCAGUAGGAGCACUACUCUGAGACCAAAAUCAGCUUUUCCAACCUUGUUCAUUCUCCACAUCCUUUGAUGAGAGAUUUGUUAAUGGUUCAGUGUCCGUCAACAACCAGUUCUUCUACAAUUUUGGCUGGAGAAGGAUUGAUUCUGAGAUUUCUGGGCAAGUCCUGCCCUGCCCCUGCCCCCGUGUGUCCAAACCCACCAGCUGUGCCCGUCUCUAACUCGCUCUCCCGCCUUUCGUAUCGACGCACAACAAUUCACCGACAGCUGAGUUGUCGCUGGUCGCUGUCACUUUAAUUAUCAGGGAGUUUGGGGACCAGCUGGACAGCUUCAGUACAUUCUGUGCUGCUAAGAGGCACUUUAUUGACCGUCCGUGUCUCGGGUAGCAGGUUGGAGGUUGCCGCUACAGUCAACAGGAGUCUUGAAGUUACAACUUGAAGUAUUUUUAUUGACAGUUUUUUUACAAGCAUUUCCUUUUCAUUACUUUCACCAAAAUAAAGCAUCUAGCAUACAGUGUUUUCACACAGUUAGGAGAUAAAUAAGUGUAUCUUGAAUUCUCUAAUGCAUUGAUAGCUUAUGCAAUACAAAGUUUUUCUUCAUUUAUAUUAAUUUUAAAUACAGCUUGUUUGCCCCUUUUUUAAAAACUAACUUUUAUCUGUUAUCAUACGUCUCCCUUGUUAACUUAUAGAUGUUUAAACCAUUGGGAAACUGCAGCGAUAUUUAUUGCUAGAGAUAAAAAGUUGCUCCAUUAGGAUGAAAUUUGUAUAUCAAGUUAUCAACUGGUAAAUUAAGAAAAAAACCCUAAAUGUCAAUUGAACUGAUACAGAAAAUGUCAACUGAACUGAUACAGAAACACUUCAAAGAGUAACAACUAUUUAACCUACACCUCCAAUUUGUUUGUAGAAUAAUAAAAUAAUAAUCCAAGUUUCAUAUUUCCACGUUGAUUGGUGUGCACGUUAAUUAUGGUACUUUCUGAAUUUCAUUUAGAAUUUACAAUAGACUUGUUUGUAGUUAUAAACGGAGGUAUAAAGACAGAAUCUCACCGUGCAUUUCUCUUGACAUUACCAACUAUGUUAAAUGUAUAAUUGAAGGUCAUCAAUACAAUCCCAUUCAACUUAAUUGAAUAUCCCAGACUAACUCCAUGUGCUCAGGGUUUCAUGCUGCAUAGCUGAGGAAGGACACUACUGGGUGGCACUUUGUGUCUUCAGUGGCACUUUGUUCCGCAAAGGACAGCGGGUUUUGCAUGACCAGCGUUACCAUUCAGAACUCUAUUUUACUAUGUGCACGAUCAACGCAGGGAUCACUAAAGGAAGCGUGUCCCAGGUGUGCGCAGCUCAGCUGAUGGUGCAGGGAUCCUCGCCGCUCGGGCGCAGCUCGCCCUCCAGCAGCAGGGAGAUCACGGCCUUGCUCAGGUAGCUGCACGUUCCCUUCCUCCCGAGCGGGGGGGUGUUGUAGAACGCGGUCGCGUCAGCCUGGCGCAGGGACGGGGUUGUUGUUCAGCGCGGGUUGGGGAAAGCAGCAAAUGGGGACAUCACAAAUACGUUAGAAAUGCAAAGAUGGUUUGCAGGCUCUAAAGCUUCAGUGUAAUUCUGCUCCAUCUUCAGAAACCUCCCACAUACCUGACCAUGUGGAAUACAGAUUCCUAAAAUGCAUUGCCUAUAUUUCUUCACUGAAUGUUCCAGCCCUGUACAGACUGCACCCUGUUAGCACUUUUCAGUGUCAGAGCAGCGGGGCUCUCUGGGCCUGCGGCGGAUGGUCCCUGUGUGGUGACCGCUGUGCCGCGCGAGCGCGAGCCAGGUCUGCGUGCACGAGCACAUCCUGACGCCAGAUUUAUUUAGAAGAAAUAAAUAAAUAAAUCUAAGGGCUAAACCACAGGUAGCACGUGAACCAAUUCAUUAAUCAGAUCAACAAAAUCGGUUUCCUUCACUGAACACCUGUUCCGCACAGUUGAUGAUGUUAAAGCAUCUGCUUCUUUUCAAGUUAUUUAUUGGCUGCUAUAAUAAAGGUUCAAUGCUUUAAUUCAGGAAAUGGGUUACUUUCAAAUCAAGGGCAGAGAUUAGCGAAAUAUUAGACUUCUCUAAUUUUAGGCUGUGUUUGAAAUUAUUGGAGGAAAUACUUGGGACAUUUAUUACACGGUAAUUGGAAAUGAACAAAGUUCAGAAUAUUUUGAAGCCAGUGCAAUGGCAGAGCACAGUUCAGAGCAGGACUCGUUUAGCAGCUUCGUUAGGAGAACGUGAGAUGGGAUGUCAUGGGAACAUCCCACAGAGCGGCAGGACCUGGGAACACGGGACAGGCGGCGUCCCGAGAGUCCCCAUGCAGGGAGCUGGAGUUUCCAACACCACUGGGCUGAAGGAUCCUGUUCACAACUAUAACUUGGGGUUUCUUUCUAAGGGACAAAAAGGCAUCAUACUAAGUACAUCUGGGCUUGGAAAAAAAUCCAUCGCUUUGCCGGAGGCCAGGGCAGCACCAGCAAAAAUGGGGUUUGGCACAGGAUUUGGGUGUGUUUCCAGCCUUUACCAGCUUGUCACAGGAGUCAGCAGCGCAUUCACGACCCCGUGCGGCGCUGGCACCCGAUGGCCCUUUGUGUGGGUGACGAGGCUGAUUUUGCUGUGGUCGCAAGCUCAGUCAUUACCCUCCUAGCUGGGCAGGCCACAAGCGUGACUUAAUAAAACUGGGUCCUUUCAAAACCAAAGGGAUGCUGCAAGGUGAGCUGUUGCUAUGGCUGGAUGGAUAUCUGGCUUGCUUUCCAAUCUUAGUACGAAAGAGUAGUGGCAAAAAUGUGAGCCCUGGAGCUUUGGGAACGGUUCUUAAGGAGCAGACCAGUCCUCGUCUUUAACGGAGCUCAAUGCAGCAGCAGAAGUGCUGUUGCAUAUCAGUAUGUUAUGAAUCAGCAGAUUACUCAGAGCUUUAUUACAAAAUUUCAGAGCUUUGAGGCACCAAAACUUGUAACAAGAAUAUUUAGCGUUCUUUGAAGCAUAAAACCUAAAAUCAUAGUGAAGUAAAUCUUAAAAACUACUUAAUGAUCAAGUUACAUUUAUUUGGAUUUUAAGUCUUAAGACAUUAAAAGCUUGCAAGGUCAAUAGUGCAACUCUAGCACAGCAAUCAGCAGCCAAGAACAGUUUUGCAUCUCCAGUUCUGACAUUAGUGCUGCCAAUGGGAGUUCUUUGGUGAGUACAUUUUACUCGUGCACAGCAAUCUCAGCCUCACACUUCCCUGCUGAGCUCUAGUGUUUUCUUUCUUUCUUUUUGUUAUUCUUAGCUCUGCUCAGUUCCAGUGUCCCCCCUAAUUAAUUCUUUCCCCUUUCAUGAGUAUUAUAACUAUUUUGGCUUUACCCAGACUCUCAUUUCAAAGCUGGGUAACAUUAGCACAGAAUCACAGAAUCACAGAAUCGACUGCGUUGGAAAAGCCCUCAGAGAUCAUCCAGUCCAACCGUUGGUCCAACUCCAGUCCAUUGACUAGAUCAUGGCACUAAGUGCCAUGUCCAGUCUCAGUUUACAAACCUGCAGGGCCGGUGAGUCCAGCACCUCCCUGGGCAGCCAUUCCAAUGCCUGACCACUCUCUCUGCAAAGAAUUGCUUUCUAAUCUCCAGCCUCAAUUUCCCCUGGCAGAGUUGAAGCCCAUGGCCCCUUGUCCUAUUGCUGACUGCCUGGGAGAAGAGACCAAUCCCCACCUGGCUAGAACUGCCCUUCAGGUAGUUCUAGAGAGUGCUGAGCUCAGCUCUAAGCCUCCUCUUCUCCAGACUAAACAACCCCAGCUCCCUCAGCCUCUCCCCAUAGGGCUUGUGUUCAAUGUUUAUGAGUGUUCUCCUUCCCAUACCAGUUUGAAUUAACAAUUUAGCAAUAAAGACGUACACAUCUUUUAUCUCUGCUCACAGGCCAGACUUACACAGCACUUGGCUAUAUUAUUAUCUGUGUUCCAUUCUGAACUCCUGUCAAUAUCUUUUUAUUCUGAACUGCACAGAAUUACAUUUAUAAUUAACUUCAAUCAGAAUGGUAAAUGCUAUAAGACACUAAUACUUCACUCACCUUAGGACUGCUGUGAUCUUUCUGAAAGUCAUGAAGUGCUUCUUGCACCACUUUGUCUAAGUCCACUUUGUCCUGGAACUCCAGCUCAGGGUUUCUCUCCAAAAUAACAGAUAUGACCAUCAACAACUGGAAGGCAGAAAAAGACCGUCAGGCUUGAGACUGGAUUUGUUCAGAUUUGGGUUACGUAAGAGCACUGGUACUAAUCGAUGUGCAGGAAGCCAUUGAAUAACAGCCCAGGGAACGGUACACAGCUGAUCAUGUUCUGAGCUGCAGAAAAGAGGCACUGAAAUGCAGGUCUCUGGGCCAGGCGGCAGUGUCUGCGGGCUGCCCGGCGCAGGGCGCUGUGCGAAGGACGGACCUUCACACCCAGCCGCGCGGGGAGCCCGGAGGCACCUCCCCAGUUCAUCAGUCGCUGGCUGUUGGCUGCAGCGGCGCUGGUGUUCAGCCAGGGCACACAGCAACCGCUGCCCCUCAGCAUCUGCUCUUGAGAGGCACAAUCACGUAUGUGAUCAGUAAAAUCCUGCUAGGACAAGGUUUAUAAAAACAAAGUCAGCAGACAUCAAUAAAACGUCUCAGUUAAAAAGAAUUUACAUUCCUUACAUCUGGAAGAGGUUUGACAUAGGAAGGUGAACAUGAUGAGAGACCUGAGUGUCAUAACAAGGACAGGUGGGCAGUCGAGUCUAUAUUCUCAUCCAGGGUUUGGAUAAUCGAGUUUCUCUGUCAGCCCGCAGCAGGACACUGGUUGUCAGCCAGAACUGGGGUGGACUGGGUAUUUCUGGGAGGAACCCCCACCGGCACCAGAGGCAGCUGCUCGGGCCCUCGCACUGAGCUGCUGCCAGCACUGGGGUCCUGACGGGGGGUACAGCGGCUUUGGUUCCAAAUGAUCCAUCAUGUGCGGGGGAAGGACUCUGAACAGCCUCGAGCUUUCCUGGUGGCUCUGGGAAGGUCAGGGAACCCGGAGUUUGUUGAUUCAGCAGCAUAAAGCAGCUUACUAGAGACAGACCUCAGCAAAACGGGAAGAAUCUGCCACGGGGCAAACUGACUGUUGGAGGGUUUUCCCUAGACCGAGAAAAUGGGUAGAAAAAGGCCCGGGCAGGGCUGGAAGGAAAGCUACUCUGGGGUUACUGUGAUUAGCAGUGUUCACCUCCUGUGACCUACUGGUAUUGGCACCGUCCUUAAUAUUUAUCUAUUGGCCAAAGGGGAAGAGCAUCAAAAACUUAGCAUAUUCUGAACACGUUAACAGGAACCUGUUCAUCAUACAAAUCCAUGGAGGAACCAUUGAAGCAAGAGUUUAUAUUUAAAAUGCUAUUUCUUCAAAUAUUUGAGUCUCAGUUAUGCAUUUUUUUUCAUUUUAAGCUGUAACAUACUCAUGUACGUGAUAAAAUGUCAUUCAUUGUAGGCCACAGACCUCUACAAUGAUUUGCCUGUAUUCCGGCUGGUCGAUAUUUUGCAGCAUAUCUUCAACGAGAAGGGAAAAAUUCAUUUCAUACAUCGUCAUAUCCGAUAAGGUUGGUUGCUGGAAAACAAGUAAUACUUUUAGUCAAAGGCCACUUGCAUCACGUCAAACCCGCCCCCGGCAGAGCCUGUUUGCUUGUUGAAUAAAUAAUCCUCAGCUAAGAAAUGUGAACACUGUAGGGUUAGAAAGAGCAGAUUUCAGAGUCCAUGACUUGGAAAGUGUAUUUUAGACUUAUUCUUUUAUAAAUGUUUUGGUUUUGAUAAUGACAGGAACAAACUACCCUAAGUAAUACGUUAUGGCAUAAAGUAGACAUGAACAAUAAAACAAUCCCGCGUUAGCGGUCAGGUGAGCAGCCCUGACUGCGCAUCCCGCAGCGUUACCUGCGGCAGGAACUUCCCCGCCACGAUUAACCCGUUGGGGGUUCUCUCCAGGAUCUGCCACACGCGGUCGUAGAAUCCGGCCGGCGUCCGGUUGAGACACCCGUCGAUCUGCCGCCGGUUCAGCCAGCUCCUGCGCAGGAAAACCACAGCGUGGGCCAAAGCGCUCCAGCUGCGGGGCCACGGUGGGACGGCGGAGCCACGGCGGGACGGCGGAGCCACGGCGGGACGGCGGAGCCACGGCGGGACGGCGGAGCCACGCUCCCACACAGCCGUGGAGCUCGUGCUUUGUGGCAAGCGGCUCCAGAGCAAACCCGAGCAGGUGCUCCGCACACACAGCUCGGGAUCUCGUUUGUGCUUUUUGGAACUGGACUAAGAGAAUUAACUGUGAAAUGUCCCCAGUGCAGUAACAGAACUCGGCUGAGUUCAUCGUGUCUGAUCAAAUCAACUAAAUAAUAUAUAAACCACCAGUCACUGUGAGGUACCGACAACAGCCAAAUCUAUGCAGGCUGAAAAAAAACCCCAGUAUUAACUAUAAAUUUAUCAUACAGUAGGCAAAACAAUUCAAUAUAUAAAUACAGCUCAACGAAUCUAUAAAACACAAAACGUACUAGAUAAUGGCUUCGAAACAUCUGUCCCUCUAAUUUAAACACCAGGUUAGAAAUCUGCAUUUCAGCAGGAUCACUGAAGGCAGCUUUUAUGACCGUGUGGAGCAAAACAAGUGCCUGUAAGUUUAGAACAUCUGACAGAAUGGUUUUGUUACACUAAAGCUUUGCACAAACAGAGUUACGCUCUGAUAAAUGACAAAUUCUGUUUCCCUUUGGAAACGCUGUCCACACCUUUAUUUUCCUUACAACCACGACGUCUGGAGUUCAGCUCUGGUGCGGCUCCCUCUCGGGGUUGGGCAGCACGGGGCUGGAGCCAGAACGCGUGAGGCAGCAUCAGCGGAGCUCAGAGAGGCGGCCGCCGUGCUGGGAUUGAACGGGGCCGCACAGCACAGAACGCAGCCUCCAGCAGCUGUGCUGCACGUAUUGACGGAGGAGUUUGCCUAAAGCGUACUGUCACAGAAUCACAGAAUCACAGAAUCACAGAAUCACAGAAUGGACUGGGUUGGAAAAGCCCUCAGAGAUCAUCCAGUCCAACCCUUGGUCCAACUCCAGUCCAUUGACUAGAUCAUGGCACUAAGUGCCAUGUCCAGUCUCAGUUUACAAACCUCCAGGGCCGGUGAGUCCAGCACCUCCCUGGGCAGCCAUUCCAAUGCCUGACCACUCUCUCUGUAAAGAAUUGCUUUCUCAUCUCCAGCCUCAAUUUCCCCUGGCAGAGUUUAAGCCCAUGGCCCCUUGUCCUAUUGCUGAUGCCUGGGAGAAGAGACCAGUCCCCACCUGGCUAGAACUGCCCUUCAGGUAGUUCUAGAGAGUGCUGAGCUCAGCUCUAAGCCUCCUCUUCUCCAGACUAAACAAGCCCAGCUCCCUCAGCCUCUCCUCAUAGGGCUUGUGUUCAAGUCCCUAGUUGCUUUUUAAAUUUUAAGCAGAAAAUCCAUUUUUCUACAGUGAGAGAGCAGUGAGAGCUUCCCUAGGAAGCAAAGCUUUGGUGAAAAGCAAGUAAUGGUUUUGUGUCUUAGUUUAACGCUCCCACAAAAGGGUGGUUGGGGUUGGUUGGUUUGUUUGUUAAGCCCUUUUAUCACCUCGGUAAGAGGGAACUUAAAGGACCUGAUUCAGGAAAGGUGGGAAGUCCCUACACCUAAAUGUCUGGAUAUUUGCAGCACAAGAAUGAACACACUAUUACACAUUAUUUACCACUGUGGGUUUGUUUGGGGGAUUUUAGUUUUUCCUCUAUUUGUAUUGACAGAUUAACCUGAUAUGUUCAGAACAAAAUGAGUUGUCAGCACAACUGCUGGUUUGUGCAGAUGGCAGCGGGCCAGCUGAAAUAACAAAAAGAUCUUACAUUGAAAAACCUGAAUCUUAAAUACUGGAGAAGAGAUGAGAAUUCCUCCGGAGCUCUGCCCAGAAAGAGGACUCUCUCCAGACAGCUCCAUGGGUGUUCUUCCAUUUGUCUUCAUUUGCUCAGGGUAGCUCCCAACUACACUCGAGGACACAUUGUGGUGGGUUUUUUAAAGGGAAAAACAAAGUAUUACUAAGUGGUGCAUCUUCUGAAGAGCUUUGAGCUCCAGGUAAUUGGGAUAUGAAUAUGAGCACAAAGAUGAUAUUUAAAGUGAAGGCUUUAAAGCACUUGUGAUACAACAGCUGCUACUGACAUUAGUUACCGCUGCCGGGAUCGUGCCAAUAUGUAGCAUUUUUUUCCUGUAGAACUGUACUGGAUUAACAUGUCAAAUAAAGAAAAAUGUCUCAUAAAUCACUUCUCAAUAAAGCGUUUAACGGCCACAACCCUGCACCCGCCGUGCCCCCGGCAGCUCGUGCUCUGCACAGCUCGGCCCUCGGACGCGGACAAGAAACAUUCAGACCAGUUGCGAUAGAAAUAAAAGGUUGUUUUCCUAAUACAAAGAAAGAAGCAUUUGAAGUUGUCAGAAAUACUCCAACCUACCUAUCUGACUAUGGGAAGGAAGAGUCCUGUAAACUCAAUGAGCAAAAUGAGUUUUGUCGCUGUUUGGAUCAAUAAGAGAACAACGCUCCAUGUAAAAAAGGCUGCUCGCAAUCUCGUGACCUGCGUAAACCGGUCAGAAAGAGUGUGUGUGGAAGUCUGCACUCCGUUAGCAAUAUAUAGAUAUAUAAAAUUUGACUGUCCAUGAAAACGUGGAGAGUUUAGUUGUGGAGAGAGUGCUGGGGAGGUAAAUGCACCACCAGCCCUUGGCCUGUGCCAGGUGACCGGCAGGGACAGGCGCUGUCACAGCAGCAGAGCAUCUUUCUACAAGUCACAACAGUAGGAAAAACGAUCACGGAAAGAAAAUGCGAGGAGACAGGGUUCAGUACUUCCUGGCAGCAAGAGAACUCUUAAAAACAAGUCACUCAUGGGUAAGGAGAAGGAGCGAGUAAUAGAGUACAGGAAGACGCUCUGAGGGAUAUGCUGGCUGGCUCUUGCGCGCAGAUAAGAAUCUUCGUCCUCAGAAAAAGCGCCCAGAGUGCUCUUUGCUGACCCAGCUGUUGUACGUGAAAGGAAUCACAAGCAGAAGGCAGCGUGACAACUCAGGUAGGAUCUCUAAUGAGGGUAAUGAAGCUUGAACUGACCAAAUUGUUUCCUAAAUAGCAUAAUAUUUAAUGGAAAAUGCUGCAAAGAGAAAGCUGGGCUUGUUCUGCUGGGGAUUUAGAAGAAUAAUGUCAAUGUACUGUGUCCAGCUCUGGGUGCUCAGCACAGGACACACAUGGACCUGCUGGAGAGGGGCCAGAGGAGCCACAGGAAUGACCUGAGGCUGGAACAGCUCUGCUGGGAGGACAGAAUCACAGAAUGACAGGCUGAAAGAACUGGAGUGUUCAGCUGGAGAAGAAAAGCUCUGGGGAGACCUUAAUGCGGCCUUUCCGCACUUAAAAGGGGCCCAUAAGAAAGAUGGGGACAGACUUUUGAGCAGGGCCUGUUAUAAUAGGACAAGGGGUGAUGGUUUAAACUAAAGGAGGGAGAUUCAGACAUGAGGAAGGAAUUGUUGCCCUGAGGGUGGUGAGAGCCUGUGCCAUGUUGGCCAGAGAGGUGGUGGAUGAACCAUCCCUGGAGACAUCCCAGGCCAGGCUGGACGGGGCUCUGAGCACCCUGAGCUGGUGAAGAUGUCCCUGCUCAUGGCAGGGGGCACUGGGGAGCUGGGGAGGGCCUUCAGCACAAACUGUUGGAUGAUUCUAUACGAAGAGCCACCACUGAGCAGCAGGCAGUAAAUGCCACGACCGGGACGCUGAAAAGCACGUGGGAUAUAGAGAGUUCAGAGUCAGUUGGACUGAGACACUGUACAUCACAUGAAUUAGAAAAAGAGCAGACACCGAUUUAAGGAGCUUGUUUCUUGGGCAUUAUAGACCAGGGAAAACACAAGAAUGUGUUGUGAAUUAAGCAGGAGCAUAAAGUAGUCUGACGUGUGGUACAUUUCCUCUUUGUCAAGAGAAAAGGUCACCUCCGUUCAGUCCAAAAUUGUGGAAAUUAUCAGCAGUAUUACAUGUCAAGUUUAACCUAACUUAACCAGAAGUAAAACCUACAGGAGGACUUUCGGCUUUAUUCUUAUCAACAUAGUUAGGUGGAAAUGUUGUAAUUUUAACUUCUGUCUUGCAUGCCUUGUAUCACAACGAAUGCUCCUUUUGGCAGCCGGCUACCGCUUGGAGAAAAGAUUACAACAUUCAGGCAGUAUCGCUGUCUCUUGGCAAUUCUAGAGAACAUCUGUUCUCCAUUCAUAUAAUAAGCUAGAAGAGGGCACAGAACAGCAGAGAAACUGUUCGUAAAGUUACUUAAAGGUACUUUGUCCCCAUCAAAGAACGCAAUGGCUCACAUUACUGUCAGAGUACAGAGAUCAGUGCUGUAAAUUCAGACUUCCACACAGGUAAAGCCGAGAAGAGAAGCUGCAGCAUAAAAGCAACAAUUGUAGAAGCUGGACAGGGGUGAAAGGAUGAAAAAGUGCCUUUUUGCUGCCUUUCCUUCAAUAAGUAUGUCAGUGACUGCAGGUGCCUGGUGGUUUCAGUCGCACACAGAGGGUGCGGAGGUGAGACGCGCGUUACCUGCCCUGCUGCUGGGGCUGCAGAAUGUCCAGCAGGAGCUGCUUCACUUCGCUCGGGGACAUCUGGUACAGGUCCUUGGCCGGCAUGUCCCCAGCACGGAUCUGCAGCUCGUACUUCAUCGCGUGGAUAAUCCACCUGAAGGAAAGGCGGGAACACCUUCACCAAUUCAGUACAGGACUAACUUUUCAUCUUUACUAUCAAAGUCCUUAUUUUCUAACAAAAUGAUUUUUUAGCCAGAAACAACUAUUUUACUUUGCUCAACAGUUGCUUGCAUAUUAAUUAUUUUAGUUUAAGAAAUUAUAUUAGCAAUUUGGAACCACAUUUCCAAACCAACCAAACAAGACAAAAGCUGUGCGGGUACAUCCUGGCACUCAGGUAAUACUGCUCUACUUUCAAAAACUUCCUUUUCACUGUGCAAUCACAACUGAAAAUUCUCACAGCUCUAGCAAAGCAGGAGGAUGAACGGACCUUCCAGCAAUUUGCAGAAGAACAUAUAUCCAUUUGUGCAGCACGGUACGUUCCCAGAGAUAUUACGACCUUUUUCGUUUACUAGACAGAAUCCAUUAUACACACGAAUACAAGUAACCGCUGCAAACCUUGUGAUUUCAAUCACUGCUCGGCGCAGGGUGAGGGUGGGUGUGGGUUAACACAGCUUGUCUCACGCCCAGCUCGCUGAGGGGGAUCCUUUUACUUCCCGCUCCCCCAGUGCGACUCCAGGACCUGCGGGAUCCACUAAGGAGCUGAGCUGGCUGACAGAACUCACCAAGUGGGUAGAGAACGGGUGUUCUAGUUAGUCUCAUAAAGCAGCUCAUAAGAAUUCCGCAUGAUCCGGCUGUUUGGCUGUCAGGACGCACAUAAAGUAUCACACAAAUACUCUCCUACUCCUACUGUAUUGUGGAAUUUACUCAGAUUUUGUGUUUGGCAUCUGAUACAAACCGAAGGGAUAACGGGUUUGGCGCAGUGGGCUGUGCAGCACGCUUCUCCUGUGUGACCAUGUAUUCCCCUACAUCCCAUGUUCAUUAAGAGAAACAUUCACCUGCCUUUUGAUAUUCCAGUUCCUCCUCAGAAUUACACUCUGACAGUACCUGCAUUUUGAUGAGGAGUUAUAAAAAACAUUAAAAUGAUUUUACAUUUAAAAAGACUCCAGGGCUCAUGUAUAGUUGUAGCCUUUGAAAUUCCCUUUGCAGUCUAUCACAUCUUUCUUUUGCUUCUCCCUUUUGAAAAUAUUUGAUUAAAUAAAAAUAUGGCAACAGUAAAGAUUUUUGUAGCCUGAGGUAUCAGAGGCAGAACUUUGCGAAUUAUUGAAUGAAACUGCUGAAUUUUAUUCUGCAUAUUAUAUAAACACAGUGCUACAGCCUCUAAUGUAGUAUCAAAGAUGAACUAAUGUGGAUGCAUGUGAGGCAAGGUGACGGAGCAUGGAGCUCAGCCUCUCACCAUCUACAUCGCUUCAGAUCAAGGGGGUGGAACUAUGGAAAGGAAAAGAAACUGCCGGGAAAUGCUGAGUGUUCCUAGGAGAGCGACUGGUCCCCAGCGCGGCCGCGUUCCACGCGCCGCUCCUUGCGGUGCAGACUGGUUUUGUUUGUGCGAGACAAGCCACUCCUCUGCAGGAUUCCCAGUAACCGCCCAGAAAUCGGAGAGUGCGAGCUUUCUGGGACCACCGAUUGAAGGUGCAAGAUAGAGGAGAACGUUGGGCAACCUGGGCAUAUCGCAUUACCCACGACACUGUUUCAGUGAGUGAACAGUGUUCUUCUCGUUACUGAGAUCAACAAACACUGAGGCUGAGGAACCGGUUCUUUGGUCACCAGUGACUCCAGUGUAUGUGUACGGGUGUCAUUUGCUGGGAUUUUCUCUUUGUGGUGGCCCAAAGCACAGCCAGGAGUGGCCCUGCGGCUCAGCCUGCGCUGGGAAGGGGGUUUUACAGCAAUGGGGCUGUCAGCUACGUGAUCUAUUUCAACAUAAAGCCCUGAAAACAAAUCAAUAACAAGACACUAAAUCAAAUCAUUAUCAAACUGGAAUGGUGUUUCUGGGAGAAGGUUAAUUUUGCUCACUGGAGUGGGUGAUAACACGGAAAUAAAGGAAAUUGAAUUUCUAGCAUUAACCUUGGAAGAAAGGAAAAAGAAUUAGCUACAGAGAAUGCAGGAGGAAAGGGUAACAUGGAUCUGGUGAGGUACAGAAAAGGCAUUUAAGUGAAAAAGGACAGAUGCGCUUGCAAUUAAAUGUAAUACAGGUGAUUUGACAAGUUUUUGGUUUUAUGGUGAGUGGAAUGUACGGCUAAAGCAGAACCAUGAAUCUUGUGUACUAGAAAAAACGCUGCUGGUAUCUCCUGCCAGGGCUGAAACGCUGUAUUUUCUCCAUGAGAAGAUAUGGCAGACGGAACACUUAAGUUCUAAUCAUAAAGCACGCUUGUGAAUUCUGUAAAUCUCAGUCGGGAGCACCUGGCCUCUUCAAAGAAGUGCUUAUUCAAAUGCAUCUGUCUCUUCCAAAUGUGAAAACAUCAUUAAUUUCUGUAGCUAGCAAAGCAAAUGCAAGUAGCAGGUGAUAUGCUACCGCUGCAGCACACUGGCUGGAGGUCACCUUAUCGAACAAUGGCGUACAACGAUGUUUUAGACUUGAUUCAGGUUGUGGUUCCUAAGCUCUGCGUAGCUCAGCCUGUUUAGCACAGAGCUGGACAACCCGGGAGCCCAUGGACAGCUGAGUGUGGUGUGUGUCUGCAACAGGGAGACUUACUCAGUUGUUGGGGGCUAGAGAACAAAAAAGACGUGUAGCAACCUUCUAGGACAAAUCGGGUUUUUCUUUAUCGGGGCAGUUAAAUCUUUCUGUGCAGAGAACAACGUCUUCAUUACGCCCAUCAGAUACUCGGAUUCACUGAGUACAAAGUAUACCCUGGCACCUCAAAAUAUUGUCAGAAAAGCUGAAAUGGUAAACGUUAGAGCUGCAGAAGGUUUUAUUACAGACAGACAACAAAGAACAAGCUAUCUUUCAGAUAUUGUGCUGAAACUCUGAAAAGAAAUUGUUUAAGUACCUUGGAACACUCUUUCCACAGGAUCUGUUGCUGUGGUUGCCAGACUUUAAAGCCUGGUUUAGGCAAGGCUGUGUUUUGAGCUCAGCACUUACUAGAAACCACAGAAUGCAACUAGAAUUGUAUGUUGACUUGGAGGAGAAUUGCGUGGUGUCGGGAGGGAAUCAAAUCCACACUGCAUCCUUCCUAGAUUCUUGCAUUUCUGCAGCCUAUCCUGCACCCGUCUGCCCCAAACCUACGUGACACAAGGAACUACCAGGUGAGCAAAAACCUUUAACAGACAAAUUUGAGAUGAGCUGAGGGACCUGCUUUUGGCACACUCAUUUAAAACAGACUUCCCAGAAAUGUACAACUGAAGUACAGAAGUUUUGCUGCAGUGUCUUCUAUAAAUUGUUCUUGCAAUGUAGCAACCAUCUCUGUUGAAGUCUGUGUCGUGGGUUAACCCGAGCUGGCAAUACAACCACGCAGCCGCUCGCUCACCCCAACAGGGGAGAACUGAAAGGGAGAAACUUGGACUGAGAUAAACACAGUUUAAUAAAAUAACAAAAUACUAAUACACUACUAGUAAAUAUAUAUAAAAAAUAGAAAUAAAAGGUACUGAAGGCAAUUCCCCAGGAACUCCAUCCACACUGAGCCCCAGCCCUGAGCUGCCCAUCCAAAAGAGAGAAAAAGGCAGAAAGGCUCAGAGGCCUCUGCAAAAUGGCAAAAGGCCAAACUAAACAUCCUGAUCAAACUCCCCAGAAAGUGCAAGAGCCAAAUCCUUAAAUAUGCAGCAUGACGCCAAUGGGCUGGAACACUCUCAUUGCUCAGUCUGGGUGUCCAUCCAGCUCUGUCCGUCCAUCCAUCCCCUUCCCCGCUGCCUCACACCUGUGGGCAGAGCUCAGUGUCCUCAGCUCUCAGACCAGAGCAACUGAAAACAUUAACCCUGUGCUGGGCUGUUAUCUCUUGUCCUCAAACUAAGUCCAAAUACUGAGCGUGCUGGCUAUGGAAAAGAAAGGUUUCUAACUGCACAAAGAAAGUUAACCCAUUUUCAGUCAAACCAGCACGGUUUGUUCCCUGCAGGAGCAGCGAGAAGCAGGGUGGGUACGCACCCGACGCGGAUCUGCAGCAUCCCGCUGAACAGCUCGGGCGAGUUGGAGAUGAUCCAGCCGAUGUGUAUGACCAGCUCCUGCUGCACCACCGCUUCUCGUUCGUCUUGGAAGUGGCAUUUUUCAUAGAGGAUGUUCUUAAUCACUGCUGGGGACAAGGGGUUAGAAAUAACCGCUUCCUCUUGGCCAAAAGCGCCGAGUGUCACCUACGAUACAUCAAAACCAAUUCAGAAGAUCCGGACAGGAAUAAAAGCACCACAGAAGCAAUUCAGACAUGAAGCUUUAUGAACGCUGCUUUUCUUGUUAAAGUUUCUCAAUACAAAAAUGAUUUUAUGCCAGUGACUGAUGCUGGUUAAUACUGUUAGUUGGAUGCUAUUAAAACAACGUUCACUACAGACCACAGUAAAUACGGAAUCUCUUUUUCCAAAUGAAAAUGAAGGUAUGAGACCACUGCUUUGGGUUCAAAACUGGCUGUUUAACUAGAUUUAGAUCGUUUUUCAUUUCUGACAUUUCAGCUGUGAAGCUCACUUAAAAUUCAGAAUUAAAUCAAUAUAUUUGUUUUCUUAUUUCUAACAGCAUCCUAAAAGUUCUAGCCUUCGCUUGAGGAAAAUACAUUGCUGGUGCUAAAUUGCUUAACCACAAAAAAGGAAUUUUGUUAAAAUUCUGAUUUCCUUUAAACUACUGUCAGUAAAACACUCAAACACUAAUUUUUCUCCUAUAAUAAAAAUCAUUAGUAUAAAGCGAUGAGUGAAGGCACGUUAGGAGAGGAGACACAGACACAGCUGUCAGAACAGCACUCUGUGUAGGUAAGUGUGCGCAUAUACAAAAUCACAGAAUAUUCAAUUACUAUUAUUUGGAAACAACUCUUCAUGAGCUUAAUGAAAAUUAUCGUGCUGGGAGGAAAAAAAUAGUCCCUCCUUAGGAAAGGAAGAAACACUGACCAUUAAACUUGGUUUGCAACAGGACACUGAAAUCCCAAACAACUUUCUGCUCCUGUGGUGUCUCAGGCUCCAUCAUUACAGGGGCUUGGCUACAUCUUCCUUAAGCCUUAAAACUAAGCUUUCUUACCUGACUCCAGCUACUUUUGUGAAAUAAGAGGGCAUAUAUAUGUAAAUUCACAGGAGUUAUGUAUAUCAUGCCUCUUCCCUUCUUAUCUAGACACUGAACUGUCUUUUCAGUAUUGUUCUGCCAUUAAAUCAAAGUAACUUUAUUAGCCCACAGUAUACACAAGGAUUCAACCUAUUUUCUCUGGAUUUCUCCUCUUCAGAAACAAUUUUUUAAGCCAUUGGGUACUUUUAAAAGAAGCAUCAGAGGCCUUAAAAAUGAAAAAGCCCAUUCAAUUAGUUUCUCAGUUAUCAUUCCUUAAUACAUUUCUGAGGAGCGAGGACUUACCUGCUUGCCCUGCACUAAAACAUUAGUAAUAGAUGGUGCAAGGCUGUCCACUAGUUUACCUAAAAGACUCGCAGCGAAGCGCACAACAGACCUGAGGGCAGAAAACAGAGCAAUCCCACUGCACAUCACAAGCUCGUUUAAUGAAUUCACAGACAAUCUCGAGUCUGCCGCAGCAGAGCGCAACACCCACUCACGACACGGAGACGUGACCGAUAAGGCAGAAUUUGGAGUGGAUUUUACGUCAUCUUCUACGGACUUCCGUUUUUUAGUCUAGAUACAGGUUAAUGGAUCAACAAUCGAUUUAGUCAGAACUCAUUAAACCGCCAGCUCCAUACAAAAGCUUGUUGUUCUUUUCUCAGCAUCAUCUUCAAGCCAAAGGGGUGAGAAGUGCCAGCUUCUCUUGUGCGACAUCCGCAUCGUUUGCCAAGGUAAGCUUGGCCAUUUUUCGGUCAGAAAGAUUUUGCAAGAGAAAGUACAACAUGUAACACCAAGGCUUUGUUUGCUUUCUGUGCUGAGGAGACACUCCGCACGAGUCGCAUGAAGAGACUGCUGUGAACUGCUGGGUUAACUUCGCUCUAACUGCCAAGAAACAUUUUUCAUAUAUCCAGUUGAUGGUUAAAGAUAGAAAUACUUUUAAUAAUAGUUUCCUGACAAAAUACAAACCUAACAGACCCAUAUCCGAGCUCUUCUAGCGCAGGCUUUUAGGCUACUAAGAAUCAUUUAUUCACAGAGAUAAUGAACGAGUUGAAAUCUUUUAUAAUGUUAGUAAAAAAAGUCAAACAAUUGAUGUUGAUUCCUGUGAAACUGCUAUGUGCUUCUUAAGAUCAAGAGCAAAGCGUUUCAAAAUGCGUUAGCUGAUGCCAUCAAAAUGCAAAUAAGCAAAAAAAUAAUAAUAAAGAUCUCACUGAGCUGCAUUUCAGACUUGUGGGCACUUUACCUGUUUCCCAUGUACCAGUAAAGUGGUAAUAUGUGGGGUUAUAGAAGAGGAAAAUUUCUGUGCAAAUGCGGCACUGUAGCGCAACACCAA